This 1622-nucleotide ribosomal RNA is filed under the name Shigella sonnei. Its description in RNAcentral is "partial 23S ribosomal RNA". It matches the Rfam family "Bacterial large subunit ribosomal RNA", at positions 1313 to 2915 of the family's 2925-position model. The record is from RNAcentral. Lineage: Bacteria; Pseudomonadati; Pseudomonadota; Gammaproteobacteria; Enterobacterales; Enterobacteriaceae.
UAAAGCGGGUGAAAAGCCCGCUCGCCGGAAGACCAAGGGUUCCUGUCCAACGUUAAUCGGGGCAGGGUGAGUCGACCCCUAAGGCGAGGCCGAAAGGCGUAGUCGAUGGGAAACAGGUUAAUAUUCCUGUACUUGGUGUUACUGCGAAGGGGGGACGGAGAAGGCUAUGUUGGCCGGGCGACGGUUGUCCCGGUUUAAGCGUGUAGGCUGGUUUUCCAGGCAAAUCCGGAAAAUCAAGGCUGAGGCGUGAUGACGAGGCACUACGGUGCUGAAGCAACAAAUGCCCUGCUUCCAGGAAAAGCCUCUAAGCAUCAGGUAACAUCAAAUCGUACCCCAAACCGACACAGGUGGUCAGGUAGAGAAUACCAAGGCGCUUGAGAGAACUCGGGUGAAGGAACUAGGCAAAAUGGUGCCGUAACUUCGGGAGAAGGCACGCUGAUAUGUAGGUGAAGUCCCUUGCGGAUGGAGCUGAAAUCAGUCGAAGAUACCAGCUGGCUGCAACUGUUUAUUAAAAACACAGCACUGUGCAAACACGAAAGUGGACGUAUACGGUGUGACGCCUGCCCGGUGCCGGAAGGUUAAUUGAUGGGGUCAGCGCAAGCGAAGCUCUUGAUCGAAGCCCCGGUAAACGGCGGCCGUAACUAUAACGGUCCUAAGGUAGCGAAAUUCCUUGUCGGGUAAGUUCCGACCUGCACGAAUGGCGUAAUGAUGGCCAGGCUGUCUCCACCCGAGACUCAGUGAAAUUGAACUCGCUGUGAAGAUGCAGUGUACCCGCGGCAAGACGGAAAGACCCCGUGAACCUUUACUAUAGCUUGACACUGAACAUUGAGCCUUGAUGUGUAGGAUAGGUGGGAGGCUUUGAAGUGUGGACGCCAGUCUGCAUGGAGCCGGCCUUGAAAUACCACCCUUUAAUGUUUGAUGUUCUAACGUGGACCCGUGAUCCGGGUUGCGGACAGUGUCUGGUGGGUAGUUUGACUGGGGCGGUCUCCUCCUAAAGAGUAACGGAGGAGCACGAAGGUUGGCUAAUCCUGGUCGGACAUCAGGAGGUUAGUGCAAUGGCAUAAGCCAGCUUGACUGCGAGCGUGACGGCGCGAGCAGGUGCGAAAGCAGGUCAUAGUGAUCCGGUGGUUCUGAAUGGAAGGGCCAUCGCUCAACGGAUAAAAGGUACUCCGGGGAUAACAGGCUGAUACCGCCCAAGAGUUCAUAUCGACGGCGGUGUUUGGCACCUCGAUGUCGGCUCAUCACAUCCUGGGGCUGAAGUAGGUCCCAAGGGUAUGGCUGUUCGCCAUUUAAAGUGGUACGCGAGCUGGGUUUAGAACGUCGUGAGACAGUUCGGUCCCUAUCUGCCGUGGGCGCUGGAGAACUGAGGGGGGCUGCUCCUAGUACGAGAGGACCGGAGUGGACGCAUCACUGGUGUUCGGGUUGUCAUGCCAAUGGCACUGCCCGGUAGCUAAAUGCGGAAGAGAUAAGUGCUGAAAGCAUCUAAGCACGAAACUUGCCCCGAGAUGAGUUCUCCCUGACCCUUUAAGGGUCCUGAAGGAACGUUGAAGACGACGACGUUGAUAGGCCGGGUGUGUAAGCGCAGCGAUGCGUUGAGCUAACCGGUACUAAUGAACCGUGAG